This 592-nucleotide ribosomal RNA is filed under the name Stomorhina discolor. RNAcentral's name for it is "partial 12S ribosomal RNA". The stretch from base 1 to 384 matches the Rfam family "Microsporidia small subunit ribosomal RNA", at positions 780 to 1311 of the family's 1311-position model. Lineage: Eukaryota; Metazoa; Arthropoda; Insecta; Diptera; Rhiniidae. The record is from RNAcentral.
AAAAAUUUGGCGGUAUUUUAGUCUAUUCAGAGGAACCUGUUCUGUAAUCGAUAAUCCACGAUGGACCUUACUUAAAUUUGUAAUCAGUUUAUAUACCGUCGUUAUUAGAAUAUUUUAUAAGAAUGUUAAUUUUCAUAAUUUUAAAAAAGAAAGUAUAUCAGAUCAAGGUGUAGCUAAUAUUUAAGUAGAAAUGGGUUACAAUAAAAUUAUUUAUAUGGAAAUAAAUUUGAAAUGUUUAUUGAAGGUGGAUUUGAUAGUAAAAUUAUAAAGAUUAAUAAUUUGAUUUUAGCUCUAAAAUAUGCACACAUCGCCCGUCACUCUUACUACUAAGGUAAGAUAAGUCGUAACAUAGUAGAUGUACUGGAAAGUGUACCUAGAAUGCAAUUUAAAGCUUAUUUAGUAAAGUAUUUCAUUUACAUUGAAAAGAUUUUUGUGCAAAUCAAUAUAAAUUGAUUAUAUUUUAUUUAUUAAUUUAUAUUUUGUAUUAAUUAAAUUAUUAAAAAUAAUUAUAAAAUUUAUAUUUUUAGUAUUUAAUAAAGAAAAAAUAAUAUUAAUUAUAGUGUAAUAGUAUUGUGAAAGAAAAUGAAAUAAA